RNAcentral lists this ribosomal RNA (1007 nucleotides) under Salmonella enterica. RNAcentral's name for it is "bacterial LSU rRNA". It matches the Rfam family "Bacterial large subunit ribosomal RNA", at positions 140 to 1187 of the family's 2925-position model. Lineage: Bacteria; Pseudomonadati; Pseudomonadota; Gammaproteobacteria; Enterobacterales; Enterobacteriaceae. RNAcentral also lists the same sequence under 1 other name. The record is from RNAcentral.
UCGUCACACUAUCAUUAACUGAAUCCAUAGGUUAAUGAGGCGAACCGGGGGAACUGAAACAUCUAAGUACCCCGAGGAAAAGAAAUCAACCGAGAUUCCCCCAGUAGCGGCGAGCGAACGGGGAGGAGCCCAGAGCCUGAAUCAGCAUGUGUGUUAGUGGAAGCGUCUGGAAAGGCGCGCGAUACAGGGUGACAGCCCCGUACACAAAAGCGCAUGUGCUGUGAGCUCGAUGAGUAGGGCGGGACACGUGGUAUCCUGUCUGAAUAUGGGGGGACCAUCCUCCAAGGCUAAAUACUCCUGACUGACCGAUAGUGAACCAGUACCGUGAGGGAAAGGCGAAAAGAACCCCGGCGAGGGGAGUGAAAAAGAACCUGAAACCGUGUACGUACAAGCAGUGGGAGCACCCUUCGGGGUGUGACUGCGUACCUUUUGUAUAAUGGGUCAGCGACUUAUAUUCUGUAGCAAGGUUAACCGUAUAGGGGAGCCGUAGGGAAACCGAGUCUUAACCGGGCGUUAAGUUGCAGGGUAUAGACCCGAAACCCGGUGAUCUAGCCAUGGGCAGGUUGAAGGUUGGGUAACACUAACUGGAGGACCGAACCGACUAAUGUUGAAAAAUUAGCGGAUGACCUGUGGCUGGGGGUGAAAGGCCAAUCAAACCGGGAGAUAGCUGGUUCUCCCCGAAAGCUAUUUAGGUAGCGCCUCGUGAAUUCAUCUCCGGGGGUAGAGCACUGUUUCGGCUAGGGGGCCAUCCCGGCUUACCAACCCGAUGCAAACUGCGAAUACCGGAGAAUGUUAUCACGGGAGACACACGGCGGGUGCUAACGUCCGUCGUGAAGAGGGAAACAACCCAGACCGCCAGCUAAGGUCCCAAAGUCAUAGUUAAGUGGGAAACGAUGUGGGAAGGCCCAGACAGCCAGGAUGUUGGCUUAGAAGCAGCCAUCAUUUAAAGAAAGCGUAAUAGCUCACUGGUCGAGUCGGCCUGCGCGGAAGAUGUAACGGGGCUAAAC